GUUUUUCAGCUUGCGUGUCCUAUAGACGGAGGAAGGUCAGAAGCCGUGGGGUUGCGGUUAGGACUUGUGGACUGCUUGUGAAGAGCUGGAGUAGAGCGAGGCGAGCCAACUUGAAGAGGACCGCGGGGACGUUGGGGACCAGGGGAGGACGGCAAUGGUGGGAAUGAGCUAUAAAUGAUAAACUCUCAAGCAUGGCUACACCUGUGUUUUCCCACUGGUGGCUUUGUGAAGGUUCCAUAGGAAGUCAAUGAGAGCAUCAUUGCAAGUGAUCUUCCACGCCCCACCCCCCCAAACAACUUGUGAAAGACUUCAAAUAUGCAGAAAAAUGAAAAGAAGCCUACAAUGAACACCCGUGUGCUUUUAAGUUCUACAGUUAGUAUUUUGCUCUAUUUAUGCAGGUUUCUUUUGAUUGCUGCUUUAAGACAUUCAAACUGUUAGGCUGAGCAUUCAAGAAAAGUUUCAUAUUUAAGCUCAAAAGAUUAAGCCUCAACUACCAUUAAAUAAGUGCAUAUCUAUGAAAAUUAGGACCUGCCUUAUAAACAAACACCAAUAAGGCAUAGAGUGAGGUGAUGCCUGUUAAAGCAGCUCCUGGCACAGACCAACAGUUUGAGAUGACAGCCGUCAUGAUCUGCAUUCUCAUAAACCUGCAUCAGCUGCAGGCAUAGUCCCUGAGGCUCAAGAUUAAGAACUUCUCUGACCCUGCUUUGCCUUUGAUCUGUAUGCUAGCCCAAACGUGGCAUAUUGAUUGAUAAGGGGAGCUGGGAGUGUUGGUGGUGGGGGACCUGGACACAGUGGCACCAGCAAUCAUUCCUCAGGCUUAAUAGUGCUGCAGGAGACUAGGCAGUAAGGUUCCAUUGCUAACACUGGACAUUCCUGCUAGGCAAGCCCUUUUCUGCUGGCUAUUGGGUGCUCUGGCUACAAGAAUCAAAGAGCUAAUGCUUACAGGAGGAUGAUAUAUCUCUUGUCCCUCUGGUCAAGAGAUAGCACUGUGCUCCCAGUCAAUUUAAGGCCAACCAUUUAGAAAUCUGAGCAGCAGGGACUAUGACACUUAGUAUGUGUGGCCAAAUAACAGUUUCUGAAAUCCAGGUUUCUCAACUUUUUCAAAAUCCGAAAGUUAUUCUUCAAGGCUACCUUGAUCCUAGAUCUCUGAAAUGUAACAUUAUAGAUUCUCCCGGUUCCCUGAAGAAGUUGCAUUCUCAGCUGAACGACUGAGGAAAGCUUGGUUUGGGUUCUCAUGAUGGAGUGUCUGAGUGAAGAGGAGGGUCUUUGGAGGUCCCAAGAGAUCUCCUUCACUGUAUUUAAGGGGCAAUUCCUGAGGCAUUUGAAAGAUUUGCGGGGAAAUCACUGCAAGCUGCAUGGAGCAUGUGUGCAUGCACCCCAUGCUUCCCCUCCCGUGUUCUCACCUGUGCUCGGUGUUGGGGAAGCAGCUCCAGGCCUAAGGGCUAUGUGUUUACAUGUGUAUGAGUCCAUUCUGGUAUAAAAUAAGGGAAAGUGGAUGGGAGAAAGGAGCUGAUGCAAAAUCACUUCAAACUGAAAUUGGGGUAGGGUUAGAAAGCAAAGAGACCUGGUUUUCGUGGUAUUUCAAUCCCAAAGCCCUGCUGGAUUUAGGGGACGGACUUCCCCUUUCAAAAUAUUUGAAGCCAGAGGGGGACCUGAAACUGUUUAAAAAUCUGACUUAGUGAAGAGGUCAGGCCCUCAGCACAGCUGCCUGACAGGAAAAGGUCAGAGAGAGAUGGAAACACCUCUUAGUUUUCUUCAGUCUGUUCUUUAAUAUGCAAUGUACAGCUUAAAAUUUGGAAAGCAAUAUAUCUGCCAUGCAAAGAAGUAGGAACUGUCACCCAUAAUCUAGAGAACAGUCACCAGAACAGAGCCAUAGAUGACCCAGAUGUUUGAAUUGGAAGACAACUCUUUAAAAUACUUUUAUAAUACUUUAAAACCUUUAAAUGCUAUUAUAGGAGGAAGAGUCUGAGGUGGUAGCAUAGGACGACCCUGAACUCACCUUUUCCAUGGGCACACUGUAUCUGUACCUAACAAAGAGAAGAGUUCUUCCUGAAGAAGUACUGAGGGCUGAUUGAACAGCUGCUGCACAACAAAGGAUGACACAGCAAAUGGAGACACAGUAAUGAUGGGAAACCCACCCCUGAGACUAUGAACUAUGAUAGUGAGAGAUAGCAUGGAGGGACCCAUGUGCAGAUUUGCCUGAUCUGGGGCAUAGCAAAAAAAGAAAAAAAAAAAAAAGUUAAAGGGCAACUAGACUGUAAGUAAGGAAACCCAUUUACUAACACUAGAGGGGCCACCAAUGGUGGGGAGAACUACUGGAACUCUCUCUGGGGUUGGGGGCACAGGCAAGCACCAUUGUUUAUGUUUCCUCUCCCUCUUGAUAGCAUGAAUGGGAGCAGAGCCCAGGCGUUCUGGCUGGCCUGCCACCUCAGUGAACCCUGACCCCUAGUCCACACUAGCUGCAGCCAUUCCACCCAAAAGGCCUCCUGCCUGUGCUCUCCCCAGCUCUAGCUAUCACACCAGGCUGGCUCUGGCCUGAAGCACCCUGAGGCUUGCUGACACAUGCCUGCCUCAGCUGCAGCUGUCCCAUCAGGGGACCAUCUGCAUGGAGGGCCUCAGCCUGUACCCAUCUCAGCUCCAGCCAUGCCACCAGGGUGGUCCCAACCUGGAGCACCCCAGGACCACCUGGGCCAUGCUUGCUUCAGUUUCAGUUGUUCUGCCAAGGUAGUCCCAGUAUGGACCACCUUGAAACUCCCCAGCCCACAUACUAGCUCCAGAUUUUCUGCCAGGAUGGCCCCAUGCAGCAUCACAGGACUACCCGACCUAUGUCCACUCCCAUCUCCAGCUGUCUCCAGCUGCCAGGGGGACUCUGGUUCAGAGCACUCUGGGAUCUUUAGGCCCGUGCUCACCACAGCUCCAGCCAUCUCACCAGGAUGACCCUGGCACAAAGUGCUGUGGGACCUUCUAGCCUCUGCCUGCUCCAGCCCCAGCCAGCCAGCCAGCCAGUCAAAGUUGCCAGGCACAUGCAACCUAUACAGGGGACAUUCCUACUCAAGGUUACUCCUUCAAAACUAGGAGAGGUAGUUGUUUUUCUUAAUUCACAGAAGCAAACACAAAAAAUCAAACAAAAUGAGAAGACAGAGGAAUAUGCUCCAAAUGAAAGAAAAAGACAAAACUUUAGAAAAAGAACUAAAUGGCAUGGAGAUAAGCAAUAUACCUGAUAAAGAGUUUAAAGUGAUGGUCAUAAUGAUGUUUACCAGACUGAGAAGAGUGCAUGAAUUUAGUGACGACUUCAACAAAGAGAUAGACAAUAUCAAAAAGAAUCA
Long non-coding RNA from Neofelis nebulosa (Clouded leopard), 3326 nucleotides. RefSeq lists it as uncharacterized. Lineage: Eukaryota; Metazoa; Chordata; Mammalia; Carnivora; Felidae. The record is from RefSeq and is a predicted model, not a curated record. The transcript has 3 exons.